This 139-nucleotide non-coding RNA is filed under the name Oesophagostomum dentatum (nodular worm). RNAcentral's name for it is "Eukaryotic large subunit ribosomal RNA". It matches the Rfam family "Eukaryotic large subunit ribosomal RNA", at positions 818 to 952 of the family's 3401-position model. The record is from Rfam by way of RNAcentral. Lineage: Eukaryota; Metazoa; Nematoda; Chromadorea; Rhabditida; Strongylidae.
GAAAGAUGGUGAACUAUGCCUGAGCAGGACGAAGUCAGAGGAAACUUUCAUAGAAGUCCGCAUAGGUUUCUGACAUGCAGAACGAUAGGUAGACCUGGUAUGGGUAGUUGCGAAAGACUAAUCGAACCAUCUGGUAGCU